RNAcentral lists this ribosomal RNA (301 nucleotides) under uncultured bacterium. Its description in RNAcentral is "partial 16S ribosomal RNA". It matches the Rfam family "Bacterial small subunit ribosomal RNA", at positions 509 to 807 of the family's 1533-position model. The record is from RNAcentral.
CAGUCGCCGCGGUAAUACAGAGGGUGCAAGCGUUAUCCGGAAUUAUUGGGUUUAAAGGGUGCGUAGGCGGAUAGAUAAGUCAGUGGUGAAAGACGGUGGCUCAACCAUCGCAGUGCCGUUGAUACUGUUUAUCUUGAAUAUGGAUGAGGUAGGCGGAAUGUGGCGAGUAGCGGUGAAAUGCAUAGAUAUGCCACAGAACACCGAUUGCGAAGGCAGCUUACCAAGGCAAAAUUGACGCUGAGGCACGAAAGCGUGGGGAUCGAACAGGAUUAGAUACCCCUGUAGUCCCUGUCUCUUAUAC